Long non-coding RNA from Oenanthe melanoleuca, 4058 nucleotides. RefSeq lists it as uncharacterized. The transcript has 5 exons. Lineage: Eukaryota; Metazoa; Chordata; Aves; Passeriformes; Muscicapidae. The record is from RefSeq and is a predicted model, not a curated record.
GGGGCGGGGCUGAUGGCGGCCCCGCGGCUGGGGCACCCGCCGGGCGGGGGGAAACCGCACUCGUCCCCCUGCACUGCUCCGCUGCGGUGUUCUCCACUAAGACGAGCAGCAAAGAAUGAAUACCUUUGACUGACGUCUUGCUGACUGAUAUUCAUGAAACAAACUCUGUUCAGCAAAUGUUGAUCUCAAUCCAUGAAGAGCAUGCCACACUUGGCAGCAGCUGUAUAAGACUUGCUGAUCCAGGACAUAGCCAAAUGAGUCAGAGGCACUGCAGGCUUUAAUCAGCCCACCUGACGUCAAACCUCUCCAUCAGAGGAAAGUGCCGCCUGGAAAUGUCAACAUGCCCAAAUGGAAAGGCCAGAAGGAUUUCUUGUGAAUCUGGACCUUGCUUUUAACCCUUGGCAGUACAAGGAACAUCACUCCUCCCACUCCCCUGACCAGCCUGUGUGUGCUGUAUCUGCUUGAUUUUGAACAGAGAAGAUUCUCUUGGAUGUGGCCAAGAUGCAAGUGUCCAACUUCUCUAGCAUUCUUGACAGGUCAAGUGGCACAGAUCUGCAUGGAUUGCUCUCUAGUCAUUCAUGUGGCUAACUGGGAGUUUGGAGUUAACUCUAUGUGGCACAUACAGUGUGUCAAAGCAGAGUUGUUGCCACCCCUUGCCCUGACUCAUCCAGUCCAGUUCCAGCAGCUCUUCAGCUACCUCCUGUACCAAAGCCAUUUACUUCCCACUCCUUGAUGCAAGGUAUCUCCUUGGUGUAAAAUUCAGUCAGAGUGUGCAGCGCUUCAUCCUUCCUAGGGAAAGAUUGGAGUUGUAGGAGAUGAUUAGGCAAUACAUCCCCCUAAGAAUGACUCUUCAGGUUGUCUCCAGCCCUGUGAAGCCUGCUUGGGUCCCUUUCACAAGUAGGUCUUGCAACCAUGAAGGCCAAAAGCCUAGUAAAUAAAAAGUAGUGCAUAGGAAACAGAGGUGGCUACCCUCUUCUGUUGUCCUGCAGCUUCCCAUUCACACAGUGUUUUAAAAUGCUAACAAACUGCUGGAAGGAGAUGCCCUCAUACUGAAGGCAUUACUCUGCACCCAGUCAGCCUGAAAGUUGUCUGAUUCCCCAGGGAGAUUACCAGCCUAUGCUCUUUCUGAGGUAUAGAGCAGGAAGGGGAGCUUGUGUGUGACAAGGCAAAGGAACAGUCUUAGCUUGCCAUGAAGAAAUGAAGGAAUUACAGAGAUUUUCCUCCUAUAUCAGUUACUUUCAAAGUGGUGAGUUUUCAGUUCUCAUAUUUUCUUACAGUACCCAUUUACUGUUUGGGGGCUUUGCUUUCUGACAUACUGGCAGAAAGACAUAUAGCCGCAGGCAGCUCAGCCACAUUCCAGGAAGCUAAAGGGGUUCCGUGAAGGGAUGCUCCUACGGUCUGGUGUCUUGUACUCAAGGCUUUCCUUUUCCUAGGGCUUUCCUCCUUCCUUGUCUGUCACUCACUCCUUGCUUGCAAGGCUGAUUUAAAUCUAUCCAAGGGCCCCAAGUUUACCUCAGAAAGAAUAAUAAUUGCAUGCUGAGCUCUGUGGCUUCCCUUUCAUUCCCCACAUAGCAUUAGGGUGCUCACUGAAACCACAGCAUUCAUGGAUCCUUGCCAUAUGCAAACAUGCAAUUAAUAUGCUCUUCACUUUCCCCUCUACUUCCUAAGCAAGAUGGGGGGAAAAAGCACAAGUUGGGGUACACAUUUCCUUAUGACACACACAUGUGUUUCUGCACUUCUCUGCAGUGAUCCAGCGUGGUUCACACCUACCUGGAUUUGAUGGUCAUUAAAGAAGUGUGUCUGCUGCAGACUUUAAUUUGAUGUUCUGUGUAGCUGCACACAAAGCAACGUGGAGAACACAAAUCAUUCCCUCUUUCAGUUGUGGCAGCAGAUCUAUGAACACUCUACUUUCACAGGUGUUACCCCCUUCUAUGUUUUUAGCAGGGAGCUGCAAUGGGUGUGAUCUCUGUUCUGGCUCCCCUCUCUGUCCCACUGCUGCUUGCUGGUGGUGGGAACAGGUGUGCUGGGUACCUGGCUGGGAGUGCACACAGCAGGAGGAAGGAAAUGGAAAGCAGCUGAAGCUAGCUGGAGAGAGAAGUGUGUGUGCAAGAGAGAGAGUUUAAACCAGCUGCUGAAAGGAAAUCAAAAAGGAGACAGAUUUCCUGGAUGAGGCAGGGCUGUGGAUCAGAGGGAAAAGAGGCAUCAGCAAUUAUAAGUCCUUCCUCAAAAGUUAACUUUUGCUAGAAAAUGUUUUGCUGUAUCAAUCCCUAUCUUAACUUUUUCCUGGGUUUUUAAUGGUCCCAUAAAAAACUAAAUGAAGAAAUCACAGCCGAAGGUUAGAUAUGUAACUACUUGUGCCAUCACACAUGAUCUGACUCCUAAGAGCCUGUUUGGGGAUUGUAGUACCUCUUCUUUGAAUUAGGCUGAAAGUCCCAUUUCCAUCCUCACCUUGUUCUCUGUGGGCCUUCAGGAGCAGAGGGGACCUACAAUGCAGCAGUUGCUCCCUCUGUCCAUGAUGAAAACAGUGAGCAAAACCGCACCAAAGCAAUAUGCAGACAAGUAAUCAAAUCCAGAAAAAAGACAAAGCAAAAUGAAGGCAGGACUGUUGCAAAGAGCUCCUGAAGGGCCAAAGUAUGGAGCCUGCAUGACUCCAGAAAACUUCCAUGGCUAGGAGGACAGCUUGUGGCAGAAACUGUCUAUUCCAUCCAUAAGAACACCAAUGCUGGAAAAAUAAACAAAUGGUAUCUUUCACAGACUUGAAGUAAAAGCUUGUCUUUGGUGGCAGUCUUAAAGAGCCAGCCUGACCCCCAAAGCAAAGCAGUUCUUACAGCAUGAAUCAUUCCCAUACCAGCUGUCCAGGCUGCAAACACUACACAGAUGACCCCUUCUGUAACAACAAAGCCUGCAUGCAGCAGACUAAAAAUCACCGACAUUUCACCCUACAUUCCUCAAGAAACACUCAUCCUCAAAGAGUCUGUGAGACCUCCUGGCACAGUCCUGGGUGGGGGAACCAAAAGCUUCAGCCUGGCUUGUAGCAGAGUGGCUUGUAGCAGUGUUCAAGCCCAGGGCCUGCUUACCUUGUCUUGUGUGUCCUGCUCACAACAAUGCAGGAUGAAGGCAAAGCAAAUACAAAGUGGAACAAUGUACGAUGAGAGACUUGCAGUUCUUACUCCAUGUACAUAAAGGCAAGCAGUGGGAGCAGGACCAGGCAGGAUGGAGCACAGGAGAGCAGGAUCCCUUUCUUACUAGAAACGGACUGAUGAUUCACUUCUCAGCAUGAUAAAAUUAGCUUGGUUGGUCAUACAUGUGUAUUUGCAGCACCAAAUAUGGUGAGAGACCAGGAAGACUUACCUGAUUAUCAGUUUGACUUGUUCAGCCUGAACAUAUUUUAUUGCUAUUUCAAUCUCCUGCUGUAAUCAGAUUGCAAAUAAAUCUAAGUAUAAAAUCAGAGAAAACUGGCCUAGGAAGGAAUUUGAAUGAUCAUGUAAUUCAGCCCCUGCCCCAAGGCUGCUUCCUGCUUUGCCAUAUCUGUGUCCCAAGAGAUGGCUGCAGAACUUGGUUUUAAAGAUGCUCUAGUAAGGGUGAUGCACCAUUCAAAUGUUGCAAGCGCUGCAGUCGCCAGGCCUCUGUUUCAGCAGUGCUGCUCAGCCUGUUCUUUUUCACCUGCAGGCACCCAUGGCCAGCUGCAGCAGCGCAUCUGAGUUUUUCUGAAAUGCCAUCACCUCCCCUCAGCCAUCAACCUGUCUCCAGGUCUCUUCUGGAGCACAAAACUGCAUGCCUGCAGAAAUAACUCUCUUUUUUGGCUUUGGAGGGUCAGCAGCAACACUCUUUGACCACCUAGAUGACAUUUCCAUUGCCUUUAAUGAACUGCACUCAUGUCUGACAUAAGCCAAGUGUCCAUUUCAAAGCUCUACAGAAAUGCUAGGGAUGAGGGUUCCCAUCAGAGCUCUCCAAGAUGUGACAGAGCAGCUUUCCUGUUCAACACCAAAACGGGAUAUUUGUUAUGAUUCUUCCUUGCCUGACAAGGUGCAGCAGUGAUAGGCAGAGAACCUGCAUCU